Molecule: RNA transcript, 4888 nt
Organism: Strigops habroptila (Kakapo)
Lineage: Eukaryota; Metazoa; Chordata; Aves; Psittaciformes; Psittacidae
Gene: GUCD1
Gene name: guanylyl cyclase domain containing 1
Exons: 5
Source: RefSeq, a predicted model, not a curated record
UGCAGUUGACUGCAUCCAGCUGAAAGUGCCAGUCAUUCAGCAGCUCUACCACUGGGACUGUGGGCUGGCCUGCUCCAGGAUGGUGCUGCAGUAAGUGACUCUCUUGGCUUGAAUGGUGGGAAUUCCCAUCCCGUGGGAUGGGGGUAGUGGGAAGCAACAUCCAGGGAGGUGUGCUGAAGCAGCUGUGAGUUUAAUUUAGUCUUACAAGAGUACAUACAUAUUCUCAGGUACCCUCGGAGAAUUACUGCUGCCUGGGCCUGGCACAGCUUUCCAGUAGGAGCAAGGGAAAAUUUAAACUAAGCUUAACUUCAGACCCUUUUGAAUAACUGACUGUUCUGACAGAUGCAAAAUACCUGUAAGAACUGUACAGGUCAGCAUGCAUAAUCUGAUAAAAAGUUAUUCCUCUUUCCUGCUGUUACAAUUCAGAACAGAUGCAUAGCACAGCAAUUCACCUGCCUCCUUUCUGUUGUUCCCAAGUGAUGGGUAGGCAUACCCCAGUUUAUGAGUACAUACUUGCUCUGUCCUGCUGAGCCCCCAGUCUGUGGGUGAAUGUUUUUGUUCCAGGAGUAGAUUCAACUCAAAACAAUGCACUGUAAUGCCCUUUGGGGUGGUUUUUUUGGUUUUGUUUUGGUUUUUCUUUUUUUGAACUAGUAGCUGUCCUGCUGAACUCCUCUUUCCUUCCACAGAGGAACAUGAGCUUAGGUGCAGGAGAAAUACCUAUUUAGAUGUCCACUUAGUAGAUAUGAAGCAGAAGAUUUUCAUUUCUCUCCAUCCCUUCUGCCAAGACGUUAGUCCAUGUGCUGGUAAUUUCCCAUCUUGACUACUGUAACCUCUGCCUCUACUCCCUGUACCUCUUUGCCACUCCAGUCUGUCCAAAACUCAGCUUCCAAGAUUAAUCUUCUCACCCUGCUGAUCUGACCUCAUUUACCCUGCAUCCUCAAUUCCAGUCCCCCCACCUUUUUUUUCCAUUUACUUCCAUUUGUUUUCUGACUUCCAGAACUCUCUGUAACUGCCUUUCCCUACCCCUUUGCAGCCUUUCCCAACCUUCCUCCCUUUGUUGCCUUUUGUGCCAUCAGUGCCUAAGACAAGCUUCCUUUGAAUAUUUACUGACUUCCUUUACAGUUCCUUUACAGUUCCUCCUUUUGAAAUACAUCUAUUGCGUGAAGCAAGUUUUAGUCUUUAACACUUCUUUCUGUGUUUGCUCUAAUAUGCUUGUACAUUUAGACUGUAAGCCCUUCAGGACAGAGUUCUAUACUUGCUCAGAAGAGCUUGCUGUUGUACAGCACCUGUACACUUAUAACAUAAACCAGUCAAGAUACCCAUACAUUUCCAAUUUUAAAAAGUCAGCAAUAAAUCUAGUUAAAUAUUCCCUACUCCCUUCCUUUCCCUUAAAUCUGUGGCUCCUUUGUGGGUUGUUUUCUUUUUGGUAUUUCUUAGCCGAGCCCAUUGUUUCAGUUUUUACGUCCUGUGAUGUGGAAGCUUGGGCUACAGCACACAUUUUGCUUCUCCUAAGAUCUGUGCUUCCCUUCCCUGCCUUUCCGAAUACCAUAGGUACCUGAAUCAUUUGGACAAUGAUGAAUUUCAGAAAGCCAUCCAGGAACUCCAGUUAACAAAGAGUAUCUGGACUAUUGACCUGGCCUACUUAAUGCGGCACUUUGGUGUCAAGCAUAAGUUUUGCACGCAGACACUUGGAGUGGACAAGGGCUACAAAAAUCAGAACACUUACAGCCUGGGCAGCAGCACUGCUAGCUUCCACCCCUUCCCCACCACCGUGCCUCAGCCCUGACCUGGAAGAACCACUUGUAGAGUCAUUUUACAGGAAGCACUUUGACACAGAAGAGAAUCGAGUGAAUCAGCUCUUUGCACAAGCCAAAGCCUGCAAGGUGCUGGUGGAGAAGUGCACAGUAACUGUUCAAGACAUCCAGAACCACCUGUCUCAAGGUCACGUAGCCAUUGUCCUAGUGAACGCAGUCCUGCUGUUGUGUGACCUUUGCUCAAGUCCUGUCAAAUACUGCUGCUUCCUCCCGAUUGGACAGAAGUGCUUCUGCAGGAAUCCUGACUACCAGGGCCAUUUCAUUGUUCUAUGUGGCUACAACAAAGCCUCAGGGAGUAUUUACUACAACAACCCUGCCUAUGCUGACCGAACGUGCUGCACCAGCAUCAGUAACUUUGAGGAAGCCAGGACAAGUUAUGGCACUGAUGAAGAUAUUCUGUUCAUCUACACAGACAGCUGACAUCCACACCUGAUGCUCCUGGCCCUUUCUUGUGCAGCCUGCGUGGCAGCUGGCUGCUUGUCUCAGGACUGCCCCUGCAGAGACCUUGUUCUUGAACUGCAGUGGGAUCUUAAACAAGGGAGGCUUUAUAGACAUUGAUAGGACUAUACUGCAAUGCUGUCUUUACCUUUUUUUCCUCAUGAUGUAUCUAAUUUUGCAAUGUAUAUCUGUUUUUUGUGUUUGGUUGGUUUUUGUUUGUUGUUGGGUUUUCUUUUUUUCCUCAUUUUCAACAUUGCACAUUUGACAGCAGUUUUAAAAUAUGGGCCCAGAGCCUAAUUCACUUUGAGCUUAUUUUCAAAUUAAACACGAGAAAAAAAGCAGCACCAAAUUUAUGAACUUCAACACUUGGUAAUACAUGCAUAGGUUUAGCUAAACAGAAACAGGAGGAAAAAAAAAAAAAAAAGAGAAUACCUGUUUCUCUCUCUGUCAAAGCAUCAAGGGCUGAUCUUGAUCCUAAAUCUAGGGAUUUGAGGCUCAGCAGGGUGUUAUGGAAGGAAAAAAUAUUAACUUAAAACCACUAUUAAAUUACAAAAAAAGCCUUGCUGGCUCAUCAGGUCUGUGUUAUAGGAAUGAAACACAUUUACCCAAAUUCACCUUACACAGAUAUAGCAUUUAUGCCACUGCAUUCAGUUUUGAAUCACAGUUAUUGGUAUUGUUCCCUUGUCCUACAAACUUAACCUCUUUUGGCUAAAUCCUCUAAGAGGGCUGCUCAGAGCUCUGCGUUGCCCCAAAAGUGAAGAUAUUUUAUUUGUACCUACAAUUCUUGCUCUUUGCCAAAACCUCUGAGCAUUAUGCCACCCCCAUGUGCCAGUUUCUGCAGAAUCCCUUCCAAAUAUAAACUUUAUACUUAUUAAGCCAAUGCAGAAAAUGAGCAUCUACACUAAUGGCAUGCAUUUUGUAUGUAAAUGUAAAUAUCUGACAGCGAAUAUUGGAUUAUAACUAAAAUGCUGAAUCAUUAUUUGAGCCAAAUUUUGCCAUUGGUAUUAGUUCAGUGACCUUCUAAGAAGAGCUGAAAUCAAUUAAAAAGAGGGAACACAAGUAAAAAGGCAGGAACUCAUUUUCUAGCUCUUAUGCUACAGUAUAAGUAUUGGGCUUAAACUGAAACUGUUAGUGGCCCAUUCUUAAUCCUUUCAUGUUUUACCUGGGUUUAAUCACUUUGCUGAGGAGCACUCUAAAGUGUAAGAAAUAGCCAGUUACUUACUUCAGAUUUCAUCCAUCACACUUUCCUACAAGUCCUGAUCUCCAGUCCUGUUUGUGUUGAAGUGAGUAGAAAAAUCAAUACUGAUGUAAAGCUAGCACAGUUUUCUUUUGCACUUAAGUCAGACAUCCCGCACCUUUGGCAUGGUGUUAGGAAAAGGAACUGUUCAAGUUCUAGAACUGUGUGGAAUAACAGUAGAAAGACAUAGUUACUUAGUGGUGGAGAUAAUAAAUAGGAAUCUAUUGUAAGCACAGUAAAAUCUUUUGCUAAGAGAAAGAUUUUCUUCUAUCAAUUGUUGACAUACUGAAUAAGUAGCUGGAAAGCAUUCAAUAAGUAAUAUUAGUAGAAUUAAGGGUUCUCCUUUAUACAAAAAAAUGGUAACAGAUAUUUACAUGCAGUAGCCUUUAAAAAGUCCUGAACAAAAAGUAUCUGACAAGAAAUGUUCAGUGUAUCAUAUUUUGCUUAUAAUUGGUGAAGUUGGAAUACGUUGCAAAAUGAGUAAAAAUUAGGAUGUGAUUUAUAAAUAGUAGAACCAGCACAUUAGUGGCACCAGCAGAAUCCCAGAAAAAAGGUACAAAGCCUAUUAUGGAUAAAGCUUUCUGAUUCCUUCAAAGUCAGUCACCAGAAGGCUACUGAUGUGGGAAUUUUUAAGCCACAAGUCCAAAUUCAGGAUGUUUGAUUUGGAGAGAUUGUAUUAAUUAGCUAUGUUACUAAUUAACAGAUGUGUGUACUACAGGCCAAUAGAGUACUUCCUUAACCCCUGUGGUUUCAGGUAGGUAGGUCAUUCACUACCACUGAACUGCCCCAGGAUUUAUUUCAGAGUAGGCUUGGUUAGCUAAAUAAAAACAGUUCUUCAAAGGGCUUGUAACUGACAUUUAGCCUUUUACUGGUUCAGUUAUCCAAAUACGAAUCUUGAGCUUAUGCAAAAAACAUGAACUUGAAAGCAUGCAAGUGUUCCGAAGUGCACAGAUAGGUGUAACAAUAUUGACUGCUCAAUAUUUGGUACCCAGAGUUUAAAUACUUCAACAAAACUGAAAAAUAAAGAAUCGAAGCUGUUAAAGAGAGACAGAGAGCUCCACCACUGCCACAGGAUCUCAUAGCUGCCAAAUACAAGGUAGCUAUGAAGGAUGAAAACAUAAGAAGCAAAAGCCAAGUGAAAAGGCUGAGUAUAUGACACAAAUUCAGAUUUAAAAGCAGUUCACUGCACAAGCAUUCACAACAUCUGCAUUUUCUGAAACUUUGUUUCCCAUUACAAGAUUGUCUAUCAAAAUAUUCAGAAAAUGUCACUUUGUUUCCUUCAUGAUGUCAGUAGCAAAGGAAGGGGUAUUUUACAUGCAGGGAUUUUAUACAUAAAUAUAUUUUUAUUUGUAAUUAAGCCAUUCUUAAUAAAGGAUUAAAGUCACAGAUAACCCUGUAA